RNAcentral lists this ribosomal RNA (1208 nucleotides) under Ondatralaelaps multispinosus. RNAcentral's name for it is "eukaryotic LSU rRNA". It matches the Rfam family "Eukaryotic large subunit ribosomal RNA", at positions 127 to 1228 of the family's 3401-position model. The record is from RNAcentral. Lineage: Eukaryota; Metazoa; Arthropoda; Arachnida; Mesostigmata; Laelapidae.
UUUCGUACAAUAAGAGAUGAGGUGUAAAGGUGUUUCGUGUUCAACAGGGGUUCAGCUUAAUUAUUAUUGAGUGAGUGCUCAGAGAAGGUGAAAAGCCUGUGUAGUUGUGCUAGCCUGUUGGACUGUAACACUAAAGAGUCUAGUUGUUUGAGAGUACAACUUAAAGCUGGUGGUAAAUUUCAUCAAAGGCUAAAUAUAUGAGGGGACUAAUAGCGAACAAGUACCAUGAGGGAAAGUUGAAAAGAACUCUGACGAGAGAGUUCAAUAGUACGUGAAACCAUAUUGAGUAAAACAGAUAACUGUGCUUUUAUGUGGUAUGCCUAUCAACAGUUUGUUCGGUGUUGUGAUGCCUUGAGUGUAGGUUGUCUAUUCAGCUGAUUUCUCGAGGUUGGCAUAACCGGAGAUUCUGUGCAAUAGUGCACACCCGAACGUUGAGAAACUAUGCUGCUGCGGCAUCGGAGUGCAACAGUCCGCACGUAGUGCGCAGUUGUACGCUGGGUGCAGCUGGCUGGCGUAGUUUAGCUGUCAGACAGCUGUAGGCUGCGUUUAUGAUAGGUUUCUGCUGUAUCUGCGAAUUGGUUUAUUCCUUUUUGUGGUGAGCAUGUCAUCGUCAGUAAGCGGUCUGCCAUCAAUGUUAUAGCAUUUGUUAUUUGACCCGUCUUGAAACACGGAUGGGUUUUACCACCCGAAGGCGAAGUGAAAUGCAAACCUAUUGUUAUUUGUGGUUGUUCCAUGAUUAAGCGAUAAGCUACUCAUGCUUUCUGGCAUUUGUAGACUACAAGCGUGAUGUUUGAGACCCGAAAGAUGGUGACCUAUGCCUAGUCAAGAUGAAGCCAGAGGAAACUCUGGUGGAUGUCUGAAGUUAUUCUGACGUGCAAAUCGAUAAUCUGAUCUGGGUAUAGGGGCGAAAGACUAAUCGAACCAUCUAGUAGCUGGUUCCUUCCGAAGUUUCCCUCAGGAUAGCAAGCGUACAUUUUUAGUUUCAUCCCGUAAAGCGAAUGAUUAGAGGUAUUGGGGCGUAUAUAGCCUCAACCUAUUCUCAAACUUUUAAUGGGUGUGAGUGUUCUUUCUCAAUUGAAGAACGCUGUUAAAUAAGUAUGCUUAGUGGGCCAUUUUUGGUAAGCAGAACUGGCGCUGUGGGUUGAACCAAUUGUUGAGUUAAAGUGCCUAAAGCUGGAAUGCGCAUGAGAUCUAUAAAGGGUGUUAGU